Molecule: long non-coding RNA, 333 nt
Filed under: Eutrema salsugineum
Lineage: Eukaryota; Viridiplantae; Streptophyta; Magnoliopsida; Brassicales; Brassicaceae
Description: long non-coding RNA (ESAL_LNC001440)
Source: RNAcentral
UUUGCUGUAUGUGAGCAUCUCCCUGAAGAAAUAUGAGAACACAACAUACUAUCAUGUCGCAUCGGGUAAGAUUCUUAUUACCAGAACCGCAUUUCUUCUUUUUCAAAUUCUUUUACCAGAAUAGUCAUAAGAGAAUCCCUCGUUGGUUGCCUUUUGAGAAACUAACACUGUUUCCCUUUUGUGUUUCCGCGAGAUGAUCCAACCAACACGACCACCUCACGGCGCACCUCUGCUCGAUCAAGUGGUGACCUGUAGACGAUCGAGACACCUCUCAAACGCCUUGCCAGGUAAACACUUAGUGAGCAUAUCUGCUGGAUUUGCUGUAGUAUGAAU